This 445-nucleotide ribosomal RNA is filed under the name uncultured bacterium. Its description in RNAcentral is "partial 16S ribosomal RNA". It matches the Rfam family "Bacterial small subunit ribosomal RNA", at positions 354 to 796 of the family's 1533-position model. The record is from RNAcentral.
GUGAGGAAUAUUGCGCAAUGGAGGCAACUCUGACGCAGCCAUGCCGCGUGCAGGAAGAAGGCGCUACGCGUUGUAAACUGCUUUUAACCGGGAAGAAACCCCAGGACGUGUCCUGGGUUGACGGUACCGGAGGAAUAAGCACCGGCUAACUUCGUGCCAGCAGCCGCGGUAAUACGAAGGGUGCAAGCGUUAUCCGGAUUCAUUGGGUUAAAAGGGUGCGUAGACGGAGCGUUAAGUCAGUGGUGAAAUCCUGCAGCUUAACUGUAGACUUGCCAUUGAUACUGGCGCUCUUGAGUGCGCUUGAAGUGGGCGGAAUGUGCCGUGUAGCGGUGAAAUGCUUAGAUAUGGCACAGAACACCAAUUGCGAAGGCAGCUCACUAAGGCGAUACUGACGCUGAGGCACGAAAGCGUGGGGAUCGAACAGGAUUAGAAACCCCGGUAGUCC